RNAcentral lists this ribosomal RNA (504 nucleotides) under uncultured bacterium. Its description in RNAcentral is "partial 16S ribosomal RNA". It matches the Rfam family "Bacterial small subunit ribosomal RNA", at positions 30 to 523 of the family's 1533-position model. The record is from RNAcentral.
AUUGAACGCUGGCGGCAGGCCUAACACAUGCAAGUCGAGCGGUAGCACAGAGAGCUUGCUCUCGGGUGACGAGCGGCGGACGGGUGAGUAAUGUCUGGGAAACUGCCUGAUGGAGGGAGAUAACUACUGGAAACGGUAGCUAAUACCGCAUAACGUCGCAGGACCAAAGUGGGGGACCUUCGGGCCUCAUGCCAUCAGAUGUGCCCAGAUGGGAUUAGCUGGUAGGUGGGGUAACGGCUCACCUAGGCGACGAUCCCUAGCUGGUCUGAGAGGAUGACCAGCCACACUGGAACUGAGACACGGUCCAGACUCCUACGGGAGGCAGCAGUGGGGAAUAUUGCACAAUGGGCGCAAGCCUGAUGCAGCCAUGCCGCGUGUGUGAAGAAGGCCUUCGGGUUGUAAAGCACUUUCAGCGGGGAGGAAGGCAUUAAGGUUAAUAACCUUAGUGAUUGACGUUACCCGCAGAAGAAGCACCGGCUAACUCCGUGCCAGCAGCCGCCGCCG